CAACCCUCAGGGCCCGCCUGCUUGCAGGCGCGGCGCUGGCGUUGGGGAUCGGCCCUGACCGGUCGUCCCCCAAAUACAGUGGCGGUCUCGCUGCAGCCUCCCCUGCGUAGUAGCAACACUCGCACGCGGAGCGCGGCGCGGCCACGCCGUAAAACCCCCGACUUUCUGAA
RNAcentral lists this unclassified non-coding RNA (170 nucleotides) under uncultured fungus. RNAcentral's name for it is "sequence contains ITS2". Lineage: Eukaryota; Fungi. The record is from RNAcentral.